This 253-nucleotide ribosomal RNA is filed under the name uncultured bacterium. Its description in RNAcentral is "partial 16S ribosomal RNA". It matches the Rfam family "Bacterial small subunit ribosomal RNA", at positions 524 to 776 of the family's 1533-position model. The record is from RNAcentral.
UACGUAGGGUGCAAGCGUUGUCCGGAAUUAUUGGGCGUAAAGAGCUCGUAGGCGGCUUGUCGCGUCGGCUGUGAAAACCUGGGGCUCAACCCCGGGCCUGCAGCCGAUACGGGCAAGCUAGAGUUCGGUAGGGGAGACUGGAAUUCCUGGUGUAGCGGUGAAAUGCGCAGAUAUCAGGAGGAACACCGGUGGCGAGGGCGGGUCUCUGGGCCGAAACUGACGCUGAGGAGCGAAAGCGUGGGGAGCGAACAGG